CCUCUCGUAACUCAGAUGGUCAGAGUCUGAUGCUUAUAGCUUCAAGCCUGCGAUAAUGCAGGAGAGACGUUACGUCAAGGUCGCGGGUUCGAUCCCCGCCGAGAGGA
Tilletiaria anomala UBC 951 is the source of this 107-nucleotide non-coding RNA. Lineage: Eukaryota; Fungi; Basidiomycota; Exobasidiomycetes; Georgefischeriales; Tilletiariaceae. The record is from the annotation of a RefSeq genome assembly.